GAAGUCCACAACUCAGUUCUAAAUGAAGCUGCCUGCUUGCUGCUGAGUGGGGCUACUUCAGUACUCAGAGAAUGUGGAGUUUUAGUACUUAGAUGGGAUGCUCUAGUGCCUUCAGAUGAGCCUUCUGCUGUCACAGUCAAUGGCCAGGAACAGAAUAAGCUCUGGAGGGAGAAGCAACAUGAUCAAAAGGUUUUGUGAGCACUAUAGGGACAUUGUCAACAUAAGGAUAAUUGGUCUGUGCUUUGACUGGUGCACAGUAAUCUUGAAGUCUCUGCAUUGAUGGCAUUCAUUCUAAGGAAAUGAUGAAGAUUGAGACUAAACCUGAUGGAGCAUGCAUAUGAACUGGGUCAUGGUACUUACAAGAAACAAAGGAAGAGGUGGGAUCUGGAAUUCUAAUGGAAGGCUAGAGACAAGAUUGCUUAAACUCAGAAAUCUAUAGGGCAUCAAAGGCAAAGGGACAGGACUGAACAUUUAAAGUAAUUUCAUUAAUAAAGACAAGUGCAGUAGA
Long non-coding RNA from Peromyscus eremicus (cactus mouse), 508 nucleotides. RefSeq lists it as uncharacterized. The record is from RefSeq and is a predicted model, not a curated record. NCBI's taxonomy places the organism in Eukaryota, Metazoa, Chordata, Mammalia, Rodentia, Cricetidae. The transcript is spliced from 4 exons.